Molecule: long non-coding RNA, 4256 nt
Filed under: Canis lupus familiaris (dog)
Lineage: Eukaryota; Metazoa; Chordata; Mammalia; Carnivora; Canidae
Description: lncRNA (ENSCAFG00000051982.1)
Source: RNAcentral
GGGCCUGAUCCUGGAGACCCGGGAUCGAGUCCCACAUAGGGCUCCUGCCGGAGGGAGCCUGCUUCUCCCUCUGCCUGUGUCUCUCCCUGUGUGUGUGUGUGUGUCUCAUGAAUGAAUAAAUAAAAUCUUAAAAAAAAAAAAAGAAAAAGUAUCAAUUUGGUCCAAAACUAAUAAAUAUGUCAGUGGAAAACUGGGUCAAUUCUAGAUUCAAGUUUGACCUUUUGACCUUUAUCUAGUAUUUUCAUUUUCCUAAUUUGAUCUCUUUUUUUAAAAGUGAUCUUCUUAUUUCAUUUCCUCCUAGUUUCUUCUUAAAAACUUAAAAUCAUAGCUAGAUGGCUUCUAUACCACCUUUUUGCCUAACUGUCAACAACUUUUAAAUGAAGUUAGAUGAUUUCCCUUUUCUAAAACAAAGUUUAUUUUCCUCGAUCAUGCAGAGGGUGAUAGAUAAUUAAGAUAGAGAGACACAUAUGGUGAUGAGGUAAGAUUUAACCAAGGAAGUAGGAAAUGUAGGCUCUCCCCUUAAAGAACAUACUAUGAAAUGAAGUCUAAUUUUUUUAUGCAGUGCCCCUUGAAAAUGUGAAUUUAUGUCAUUGGUGGUAUACACAGUGCUGGGCUAUCUUCUGUGAAAAAGAUCUCAAUCAUUGAUUCCAAAAUUCAGCUUUUAGUUAGAGUAAUGCAACUUGGAAAUUUGAUGGCUCCUCUUCAAUGAAUAUGGAGACAUUUCUUGGUUUGGUUAUUAUAUAAAAGAGAAAAUCCAUAUUCUCAUAUUUUCAAUCUUUGUUAUUAUUUCUAUUCAUAAUCAUAGUCUUCCUUAAAGUAUGACAUUUAUAAAAUGAUUGAUGUAAUGUUUUUAUUUGUUUAUUCAUAGUUAUUGAGCAUCUAUGAUGUAUAAAAACAAAAAUAUGCUAAGUGUUAAGACAAAGCUUAAAGAAGAUGGACACCAUCUCUACCUCCACAGAACCUAUUAGGCAAGUAAUCACACAACAAAUUAUUUAAGUUCGAUUAUGAAGAGGAGAAAUAGUAAUUCAAGAGUACCCCCUAAAAUUUACACAAAGUUCUUUAGUGUUAUCAAAUAAUUUACUUAUUGAAAUAUAGCAUUGAUUAAAUCAACUGUUAGUAACUUUGGAAAACAUGUUCACUAUCAAUAUAAGCAUAAAUAAAAAUAAUAAAAUAUUAAAACAAAGAGAAAUAUUGCUAUGCAAUCAGGGUAGAUACUAUCAAAAGUCCACAUUUAAAUUCUGCCAUGGGUUAGGUUUGUUAAGCACAUAUAUAGUUCUAAGAUAUGAUUAUUGUUUGCUCUAAACACACUUUUCUUUUUUAUAUUCUUAGUUCUAAUCCUUUUUGGAUUUUAUUAAAUUUUAAAAUCCAUAUAUGUGAUUGAUUUGGGCUUAAGUAAUUGAAAUUAUUAGCAAAAGUCAUUAACAUACUUAAAAUAGUAGCUCCACUUCCCUAUACUUCAAUUUUCCCCCAGUGUUAUAGCAAGAUUUAUGGUAGAAUUUGCCAGUUCAACUAACCAUAUCUUCUCUGUCCCAUCCUUGCCAUGAUCCUCACAUACUUCGGUAGUUAUAUAUAUAUAUAUAUAUAUCAUGUAUAGACUUAUUUUCCAUAUGUAUGGAAAUAUGGAAUAUGUCUUCAUUCAAAUUGUAAAAUAGUUGAAAAGAAGGUCCAACUCUUAUGAGAACCCCAGAGCAAUAGGUAAAAUGCCAUAUAUCCCAUAGAUGUUCAGUAAACGUUUGCAGGGGGGCAUCUGAUUAUAUAAUCUGUAAAUAAUACCUGCUUAUUUAAAUUAGUAAACCGGACAUCCAGAAAGGUAAAACUUUCCAAAAUUCCAUCAGAGUUCUCACUUGGACCAAUUCUACUCUAUAAUCACAGCCCUAGUAAAUGUUUCCUUUCUUGCUCUAUGCUCACAUAAUGACUACAUCUUUCACCACCAAAGAUCAAACCACUGCCUGCAAUAUUACCCUGUUUCUUAUAGUUUUUCUUUUCCUGUCUGACAGGCCCUCUCCAUUCAACAUCAUGAGAGAUAAAGGGAUGUGAGCUUAGUUUCUAAGCUCAAAGUUGACUUCCAUAAUAUAGCCUGGUACAUCUGUCUGUGAAAACGCAGGAACCUUCAAAUGGUUUUGAAAGCAUUACCACCAGUAGGUCUUAGAGGAUUGUAACCAAGAAGGAAAUUGAGGCUUGAGGAUUAGACAGGGUGUCUCCAUAAGAUCAAGUAAUAUCAAAGCAGCCAGAAUAGCAGAGGUGGUAAGAGAUGUGGGCUUAGGUUUGCCAGGAGCUCUGACAGCCUACCCUCCCCACACAGAAGCCCCUCCUUGUUUCAGGCCCCAGAUCCUCAAAGACAGACAGGGUCUUUAAUUAAGUGUCAAAGAAUUGAUUAGGAGAGCUCUUGCAAUGCAAGCUCAUUGAUGAAACCAUUUUGGCAGGCUGGAUGAUAUAAUUAGCCCAAACAAGAUAUGAAAUCUGUAGUGUUUUGGGAUACUGUCCAAUACUUUUAAAAUUUGUAAUAAAAAAGAGACAAGGGAAGAAAACAGAACAAGAAGAUGAUUUAUGCUUGUCUACUUAAAGAAGAUAGGAAGAAAAAAGAUUCCAUGAUAACAUUCGCCAGAUAUGGAUGCUUUAAGUUUCUGUUAUUUUUUACAGGAAAUAUCACUCAGGAAACCUGUGUCAUUUCUACCUUUGUGAAGUUUGGCACUAUACAAAUACAGGUUUUAUUGGAGGCAUAAGUAUUCCUCAAGCCAAUGUAUUCACAAAUUCCCAUCUCAACAUAGACAUUCAUUUAAGGAACAUUCUCUCACACAUGCUAACCUGAGUUCUUUGGAGGACAAUAAAAGAGAAGAUAUGAAUAAUGCAGGACCUAAAUCUCACUAAUGGCCAGAGCCAGGAGCAAAGGGUACAAGAAUGAGUGACUAAGGGUAACUAUGAAAGGAAAAUGCACUCGGUACUUCACUGUUGAUGCCGUAACGUGGUGUUUUUGUCUGUUUUGUUUUUCUAUCAGAAACAGUUCUUUAUUGACCAUCCUUAAUGGAUAUCGCUCCCCUGUUCCCCUCUAGUCUUCUUAUUUGUAUUGUUUGUGUAUAUGGAUAGAUAAGGAUGACAAACACAUAUUUUGGCUUAACUCUACAUGCUCUCAAGUUUUUGUGGUAUCUGUGGCAAUUUAAUGAUCCUGUAUUUUUGUCAACAAUCUUGCCAUUUCAGGAUAGUUUACAGAGGUGCAGCUCAGAGUUAACUAGUGUGUAUACAGGGUGUCAUCAUCUGAAGAUGUGAUUAAAUUAUUAUUUGUGCCUUUUAAGCAUCAUUUUCUUAUUUAAAAAAAAGUUUUUAUUUUUUUGUUUAUUUAUUCAUGAGAGACACAAAGAGAGGGGCAGAGACAUAGAGAGAGGGAGAAGCAGGCUCCAUGCAAGGAUCCUGAUGUAGGACUCAAUCCCGGAACUUCAGGAUCAUGCCCUGAGCCAAAGGCAGAUGCUCAACCACUGAGCCACCCAGGUGCCCCUUAAGCAUCAUUUUCAUCAUGGUUCUAAUAGGCUCACUUCUCAGGUGGACAUAUUAAUGUAGGAAAUUUGCUGUGAGCUGGCUCACUUAUAAUGAAGGAAAGUCACUCCACACUCACCAGAGGUCUUCUACCAACUUUUUCACGUGAAAUCCUGGAUACAUGCAGUUUCAUAAGAAUUUAAGUUAUUCAUUAUAAUAAAGACUGUUCUAGGAGGUAUUCAUGGGAAACAAUCUUAUUUUUUAUUUUCUUAAAUAUUUAAUUUAUUUAUUUGAGAGAGAGAUAGCAAGAGAGAGCAGGAGCUGGCUGGGGGGGUGGUGCGUGGGGCAGGCAGGGAGAGAGAGAAGCAAGCUCCCUGCUGAGCAGGAAGCCUGCCAUGGGGCUCAAUCCCAGGACCCUGGGAUCAUGACCUGAGCUGAAGGCAAAUGCUUAACUUACUGAGGCACCCAGAUACUUCAUUUUAAUAUUACUUUUUAGAGGGAGGAAGGAGCAGAGGGGGAGGGAAAGGGAGAAGCUUAAGCAGGCUGCAUGCCUAGCCUGGAGCCCAACAUGGGGCUUGAUCCCACAAUCCUGAGGUCAUAACCAGAGCUGAGGUCAAGAGUCAGAAGCUUAAUCAACUGAGCCACCCAUGUGUCCCCAAACAUUCUUAUUUUAUAGAGAUUCAUAGAGAGAGCAAUUCUGCAACCUCUACUUUCUCUUUUAUUUCAGCAGCUUUAUUAUUGGGUAUUUUUCUUAUAGUUAAUUUAUCUUUUUUAUCUGAAUCUUAUUU